RNAcentral lists this transfer RNA (91 nucleotides) under Acidimicrobiia bacterium. Its description in RNAcentral is "tRNA-Ser". It matches the Rfam family "tRNA". From Rfam's summary of the family: Transfer RNA (tRNA) molecules are approximately 80 nucleotides in length. Their secondary structure includes four short double-helical elements and three loops (D, anti-codon, and T loops). Lineage: Bacteria; Bacillati; Actinomycetota; Acidimicrobiia. The record is from RNAcentral.
GGAGAGGUGCCGGAGUCCGGUCGAUCGGGGCGCCCUGCUAAGGCGUUGACGGGUGCAAGCCCGUCCGUGGGUUCAAAUCCCACCCUCUCCG